UACAGAGGUCUCAAGCGUUGUUCGGAUUCAUUGGGCGUAAAGGGCGCGUAGGCGGUUUGGACAGUCAGGCGUGAAAUUCCUGGGCUUAACCUGGGGGCUGCGCUUGAUACAUCCAGACUUGAGUGGGGAAGAGGGUCGUGGAAUUCCCAGUGUAGAGGUGAAAUUCGUAGAUAUUGGGAAGAACACCGGUGGCGAAGGCGGCGACCUGGUCCUUUACUGACGCUGAGGCGCGAAAGCGUGGGGAGCAAACAGG
Molecule: ribosomal RNA, 253 nt
Filed under: uncultured bacterium
Lineage: Bacteria
Description: partial 16S ribosomal RNA
Rfam family: Bacterial small subunit ribosomal RNA
Source: RNAcentral